Small nucleolar RNA from Artibeus jamaicensis (Jamaican fruit-eating bat), 94 nucleotides. RefSeq annotates it as small nucleolar RNA SNORD116. The transcript has a single exon. NCBI's taxonomy places the organism in Eukaryota, Metazoa, Chordata, Mammalia, Chiroptera, Phyllostomidae. The record is from RefSeq and is a predicted model, not a curated record.
GGAUUGAUGAUGAGUCCCUCACAAUGCAUUCCUUGGAAAAGGUGAACAAAGUGAGUGAGAAAUCCAACCAUUGUUUUCAUAGGAUCUGAGGUUC